Molecule: ribosomal RNA, 443 nt
Filed under: uncultured bacterium
Lineage: Bacteria
Description: partial 16S ribosomal RNA
Rfam family: Bacterial small subunit ribosomal RNA
Source: RNAcentral
CCUACGGGAGGCAGCAGUGGGGAAUAUUGGGCAAUGGAGGAAACUCUGACCCAGCAACGCCGCGUGAAUGAUGAAGGUCUUCGGAUUGUAAAGUUCUUUUCUAAGGGAAGAAGAAAGUGACGGUACCUUAGGAAUAAGCCUCGGCUAACUACGUGCCAGCAGCCGCGGUAAUACGUAGGAGGCAAGCGUUAUCCGGAAUGACUGGGCGUAAAGGGUGCGUAGGUGGUUCAGCAAGUUAGUAGCGUAAUUCCGGGGCUCAACUUCGGCACUCCUACUAAAACUGUGGGACUUGAGUGCAGGAGGGGCAACUGGAAUUUCUAGUGUAGCGGUGGAAUGCGUAGAUAUUAGGAAGAACACCGGUGGCGAAGGCGAGUUGCUGGACUGUAACUGACACUGAGGUACGAAAGCGUGGGGAGCAAACAGGAUUAGAUACCCCGGUAGUC